Molecule: non-coding RNA, 4007 nt
Organism: Phoenix dactylifera (date palm)
Lineage: Eukaryota; Viridiplantae; Streptophyta; Magnoliopsida; Arecales; Arecaceae
Source: RefSeq, a predicted model, not a curated record
GAGUAGUGAGAUGAACUGAAACCACCUAUUUUUCCGAGUAAAAAUUGAAAUUUGAUUCUUUUUGGUGGUUGCAUGCAUAGAAAACUAAUUGACGUCUUGCCUGCUUGAACUUGUUCGUUGUCAUUGUUUAAAAUGUUUAUUGGUGUCGUAAAGUUUGGAAUUCAAUGGUUGGUGGUCUGGUGAUCUUCUUAGAAGUACCCUUUAAUUGAGAAAGCAAAUGUGGAAUGAAAGCUUAGUUCAACUUCAUAAACUGGAAUUAUUGAACGGACCUGUAUUUGGUAAACAUGGUGAUGGAUAUCCGGAGUAACUUUUCUGUAGAUUAAUUGAUAAAAUAAGAUUUAAAAACCAUCAGUUUUCUUCACUUUGUGGUGAAGCCCUUGUCUUAAAUGGUCUGAUGGAAUUCUAUUUCUUAAAUGGGCUAAUGAUGUAGUUGUAAAUGCUGGAUGUUGCAUAUUUAUUGCCUUCUGUUCAUUUUUUUUCGAUAGCUGUCUGGCUGAGAAAGUCAUCAGAUUUCUGUUUUUAUUGAUUAUGCAUCUUCAUGGUUGUAUUGUAUGAUUACAUGGUGGUUGGUGCAUCCAUAAUGCACUUGCAAACUUGUUAGAUGGACUAGAGUUGUCAUUGAGUAUAAAUUGAAAUAGAAAGGUGGGAGCUCUGGUGCUAGAUCCACUUUCUUUACAAACAUUUUAAAGGAAAUGCCGUGCUGUUUUUUAAAUUUUAAGUUUAGUUAUUAUUCACAUUUCUGUAGCUUUAGUUACAUUGUUCGAUUAUAAAACUUGCACUAGCUAAUAACCUGCGUGAUGUGCGGGUUGCAAUUUUUUCUCCCUUUUUCAACUCUUCCUAAAAUGCAAUAUAAAAUAGACAUAAUUGAAUAGAUAACUGAAAUAAAAUAUAAUAUAAUAGACGUAAAAGCCUAUUUUUUUUAAAGUAAUUUUUUGAUAUUAAUAUUAUGAUAUACUAUCAAUAUACAAAAUUCAAAUAAUAUAUGUAUAAUUAUGGAUAUGGUAAAAUAAUAUAUUAUUAUAAAAUAAUAAGAUCACGAUCCAACUUGUGUAAAAAUAAGAAAUAGAAAAGUAUUGCAUAUAGAGGAUAUUUAAAUGCAAUAUAGCAAGAUUAUUAGUAGUUAUACUCUCACUUUUAAAUAACAACAUGAUCACAAAAUGUAAUAAAUUUUUUUAAAAAAUAGUGUAAUAUAAUGAAUCGUGCAGGAUAUGGGCAAGGUACGAUACUAAUGAUUUUUUUUUUCCACUAAUAUCAAUCUACAUUAAGCAAAUAUGAUUAUUAAUCUUGUCAUUAAAUUCUAUUUUAAUUUGGUGAUACUAAUGAAAGGUUCUUUAUUUAUUAUGAUCUAAUAACCUAAUAAGUUUCUUAUUAAUGUAUUAAUAAGCUUCUUAUUUAAUAUGGUAUUAAAUAAGGUUUUGCACACGGAGAGCUCUAGUAUAUGUACAAGUGGCGAACGGAGAGCUCUGCUGAAGUAGAGCCUCCAUUUUAUUUUUGUGCAUGUGUGUAUAUAUAUGCAUAUAUAUAUAUAUAUGUAUACAUAUAUAUCUAUAUGCGUAUGUAUACAUAUAUAUAUAUAUGCGUAUGUAUAUGCGUAUAUAUAUGUAUAUAUAUAAGUACAUAUACACAUAUAUAUACACAUACAUAUACACACACACACACAUAUAUAUAAAUAGAAAGCCUGGAGUGUAAGGGUCUACAAAUUAGAUUAAAGAUAUUAUAUGUAAAACAAUUUGUGCAGGAUUAGAUAUGAAAUAUAAUGUUAUCUUUUGGACAAAUUAUGCUCCAAGGGUUGCCAAUUACAUGUGGAGUUUGCAUAUUGGUCAACUGCAAGACUUCAAAGAAACAACUAUUUAGAAGCUUUUUUUUUUAGUGCUUAAUCUUAGGAGCAAGAUCUAUCGUACCGUCCCAUACUGUUCGAUACAGAAUGUACUAUACCAUACCAAGAGAAAACCGGUAUGAAACACAUAUUUAAGUCAGUAUAAGCUUCGUACCGCCCGUAUCGAGGCGUACCAUCCCGUACCGAGGCAUACCAACCUGUACGAGGCAUACUGAGGUGCGUAACGAGAUGAAAAUUGAGAAAAUAGGUAAGAGAGCUAUUUCGGCACAAAGGUGUACCGUGCCAUACCGAACCGAAAAUGUACCAAUACAGUACCUCGUAUCGAGAUUGCGAACCUUGCCUGGGAGGGUGCAAACUGGUUGAGUUGGUAAAGUCACUCAAUCCAACCCUUGCCCCAAUUUUGGCCCAGCUUCCUCCCAUUCUCAAAAAGAACUCUUUAUUCCUAGAUUAGUAUAAUUUCUGAAUCAAGACACUGUAACAAGUAUGAUGGUGUUGCCCAAGGUUGAGCAUCACAAAAACAAAGCAAAAAUUUGAUGAGACGAAAAAAGCUGGAAUAUGAAGUAGUACUUGGAGUAGCUGUCCUCUGCCUAUGUUCAUCCCUUGGAGUUCAUAGCAAAAUUACAGAAAAAAGGUUCCCAGGUCUUCUAGAAGCUUGAUAAGAAUAACUAGGAUAUUUAGUUAUCAUGAUUGCACUUCUCAAUAAUCAACUGCUGCAAGCAUGUUUUCAGAUAUCGAAGGGAAACCAGCCAGUAACAAUAUGGAUAGUGAAAGAUAGCACACCUGGAGAGGUUUACAAAAAUUGCGAACAUGGAGAAUCCACAUAUGCUGUAGUGAGUAUUUUGUAUGUAAAUCAAAUGGUUUUGUCAUAGUAUGCGUAAGGAGAACUGGGAUAUCAAAGCCUAAAUGCAGGAACAUUUGACUAACACCACAUGACUAACUUGAUAAGCUGAGUCACUACCAGAGGAGGGACAGACAAUCAUGCAAUUAAUUCUAGCUUUCUCAAAACCAUUGAUAUCUAUUCAGCUGGUAAUACAUCUUUCACUUUCAGAAUCAAGUCAGCUGAUAGUUUUUGUUAUCUAGUUUGAUCAUCAGAACUGUGGAACAUAUUUGCAUCAAUUUUUACUCUGUAGUCAUCAUUACAAGAAUCUCAGAUAUUCUUACUUAUUCUAAGUUAGCUUCCCCAAUUUUUAGCAGGCCAAAUUUACUUGUCUGGAUCAUAUUCAAAGUAAAAAACAGUUGAUCUAAACAUGGGAACUUGCAAAUAUGACCAGAAGUAGAUUAUUUAAUCAUGAUGAAACACAUCAAGGAUAGCUCCCUGGCUUCACCUUUUGAAAAAGAUUCUCAACUUGGUUAUGAGGCUUAUAUAGGUGUGGAAGGACUAAUCUGCUUUUCACAAGAUUCAGAAGUCUACAAAAUCCACAAUACAGGAGCUGGUCUCAAAUAAGAUUUCAUUUAUAUGAUUCUUGGACCAUGGUGAGUAUUUCUUAUAUAAUUUCUCUCCUUCUAUCACUUUGUAUCACUUUUCAAUCCCUCUUCCUCAUUUUAUCACUUUUCAAUUUCUUCACACCUGCAUUUGCAACACCUGAUUCUGCUCCUGGGCCUAAAUUCAUUGGAAAAUUUUGUCUGAGAUCUUGGGGAAAGACUUGAUUCAUUAUCUCAUGUCUGCUUUUUGCGAAAAAGGACCAAUUUGAAGGGGAGGUUUUUUCAAACAACAAGGAGCUGUGGCAACUAUUCAAGCAGUGAAUAUUUGCUGCUUUUUGAAAGGAUUUAUGUAGGUGUAUGAAAAGAGUGUAAAACAUCAAAAGUAAAUCAUCUUUGAUAUGUUCAUUAUUACUUUGUUCACUCAGAUCUAGUCAGAAAGUAUUUAGGGUAAUCAAAUGACCUAGAUUUUACUUGUUUCAAGUAGACUUUUGACUCAAAUGAACCAUCAAAGAAAUGACUUGCCUAUGCUUGUACCACAUGGCCUAGUUGGGAGAAAUAUUGACUUAAGUAUUCAGCAAGAUAUGACAUCCGACCAGUAGGUACCUAAACGAAAUUUCAUGUAGUUGAAUAUCUUACCUUUAUGCUUUCCCUGAUAUCCUUCGUUAACCUGUUUGCUGUGACGUCUUAUGACCAAGUAUUCUCUGACAUAUCUCGCUUUUGUUUUCUUGCUUCAUUUCGCCUUGCACGA